AGCAGGUUCACUUCAAUGUGCAGCUCUCAGAAACAAACAGAUGUUCAGAUGCUCAGCCAGGGAUUCCUGGGCUGAUAGGUCAUUCAUCCAAUAAAGAAAAUGGUGAAAAUUUGGGAUUGGAAACAAAAUAUUUAAAGAAAAGGGAAGAUAGCAUACCUUUAAGAGGACUCAAUCAAAACACAGCUCAAAACACAGGAUAUAUGAAGUCCUCUGCACCAAAAAAAGUGCAGGUUCCAUGUAAGCCUGCAGCACCUUCUAAAACUUCCGCCUACUUUCCUGGAUAGCAUAUUGUAAUUAAAGGUUUACAACAAUUUUGAUCACCAUUAUCAGUUACAUGCAUUUGUUUCCCUUUUGAAGUACCAACUUUACAUUUUUACAAAAUAGAUUUCUGGGUACUAAAGUUAACUAGUUCUAGGACAUUUAAAUUUAUGUUUUUCUACAAAAUGAAAUGGAUAUUUGUUUAUUCAAUGGAUAGAUGUCUAGAUUCUAUUUGGUUGUUCUCUAAUAGUUCAUUUGCAUUUUUGCAAUAUACGAGGUAUUUGCUUUCAGUUUUAGGUAUCAAAGAUGCACUACCUGAUAAGAAUAACUUAUUGUUGUUUCUAUGACAGAAAUUUAUGGAAUGUGGGGCUCAAAAGUGAAAUUGUGGAAGGCUUAAGGAGGAAUUUACCUGACACAAAUAGAAUUGCCUGCAGAAUUUUGGAGCUUAAUUCUUCAGUGUCUAUGAUGCAGGGUGUUCUAAAUUCAAUGCAAUGCAAAUAGAUCUGCCUUAUUGUUCUACCUAUAUAAUACUGCAAUCUCAGGGAGGGUUAUGGCAGAUGGGAUAAGGUAUGAGACUCCUGGAUCUCUUAUGUAUGUCAGCCUGAAUAAGCAUAAACUUUCAUACUACCUUUCAUUUAGCAGUUUUUGAUUACUAUAUCGAAAAUGUACAGAUUUUUUUAAAAAUUGUGUCUAAGUAGAAUUUUUUCCCAUUCUUUAUAGAUUUAAAGAUUAUGUAAUGAUGUUUCUACAUGGCCAAACUACAUAUUUCCAGCUUGAAUAACCAACUCUGCUGUUCAACCAUUGGGGUAUCUUGGCCAUAAAUAAAAAAAUAUGACAAUGUCUGAAGUAAUGAAACAAUUUUUAAACACAAUAUUUUCUGGUUUCUAACCAUGGUAGAAAAACGUAUAAACUGGCUCAGUGCUGUUCUUUUUAUUACUUUUGGAACGCAUUUGAGUCCAGUAUGCAAAUUGAUUUUAGUAAUUUUAAUGGAACAACCGGUAUUAAUAACAUGAUUUAGGGAUGCAGUAUUAGUGCCCACAAAUCUAUAAUAAACAUUUAUUUUUGAAUUUACCGGAUUUUAGAAUUCCUGUGCUGUUAGUUAACAAUAUUGGCACAUUUUGUCCAGGGUUUAGAAAACAAUACUUUAAAACCAUUGCUGAAUGUUGGUAUAUUUUUGGUAA
Notechis scutatus (mainland tiger snake) is the source of this 1439-nucleotide non-coding RNA. The record is from RefSeq and is a predicted model, not a curated record. NCBI's taxonomy places the organism in Eukaryota, Metazoa, Chordata, Lepidosauria, Squamata, Elapidae.